RNAcentral lists this long non-coding RNA (4489 nucleotides) under Homo sapiens (human). RNAcentral's name for it is "PREDICTED lncRNA (TCONS_00099900)". The record is from RNAcentral. Lineage: Eukaryota; Metazoa; Chordata; Mammalia; Primates; Hominidae.
UUUUUUUUUUUUUUUUUUAAAGAGAGCAGGUCUUGCCAUGUGGCCCAGGCUGGUCUCCAACUCCUGGGCUCAGGUAACGUCCCACAGUGGCCUUGCAAAGUGCUGGGAUUACAGGCAUGAGCCACCACCCCUGGCAAAUUUUUUAAUUUUUUGUAGAGAUAGGGUCUCGCUAUGUUGCCCAGUCUAGUCAUGAACUCCUGAGUUCAAGCAAUCAGCCCACCUUGGCCUCCCAAAGUGUUGAGAUUACAGGUGUUGGGCCACCACACUUGGCCUAGAAAUCAUUUUCCAGGCACGGUGGCUCAUGCCUAUAAUCCCGGCACUUUGGGAGGCGAGGCGGGUGGAUCACCUGAGGUCAGAAGUUCGAGACCAGCCUGGCCAACGUGGUGAAACACUGUCUUUACUAAAAAUACAAAAAUUAGUCAGGUGUGGUGGUGGGUGCCUGUAAUCCCAGCUACUUGGGAGGCUGAGCCUGGGGUGGCUGCUGUGAUACUUGCUCCCUGCCUGGGGCCUCUGUGCCACCCUCGGCCACCAGGGAGGGCACCUUGCAGACACCUGGGCUGGGCCCGCAUCCAGGGAGAAACACAUCUCUCCAAAACCACGUGCUUUUUUUUUUUUUGAGACAGCAUUCCUCCGUCGCCAGGCUGGAGAGCAGUGGCAGGAUCUCGGCUCACUGCAACUUCCGCCUCCCGGGUUCAAGUGAUUCUCCUGUCUCAGCCUCCCAGGUAGCUGGGAUUAGAGGCACCCACCACUACGCCCAACUAAUUUUUUGUAUUUUUAGUAGGGACGAGGGUUUCGCCAUGUUGGCCAGGCUGGUCUCGAACUCCUGACCGCAUGAUUCACCCACCUCGGCCUCCCAAAGUGCUGGGAUUACAAGCGUGAGCCACUGCGCCCGGCCGAAACCAGGUGCUUUUCCUCACGACCUGUGCAGGCCGGGCCUAAGGCAACCGGGACCCCUCAGCCUCCCCCCUCCUGACCAGGAGAUGCACCCUGGAGGGAGAGGGCCUCUGAUGCCCACAGUGGCAGGGAUGUGUGGGGUGGCUGCAGGUGAGCCUUCUGGGUCCCUGGCCAUUGGGGGCCCUGAGACCCCCUCAGAGGUGUGGGGACCCGUGGUGAGAUGGGGCUGGGUUUCUCAACGCUGCAGGCGGAGCAGUGGGGGGUCGGAGGCCCCAACCCACCUUCUUAUGGACCUGCCCAGAACAGCUGCAGAGGGAACAGGACAGGCGGGCGCAUGGCCUCUGCUCAGGGCAGGGUCCUCCCUGCUUUCCCCAGCACUGUUUGGCUGUCGUCUGCAUCCUAACUCACACCAGGCCCUCCUCGGUGCAGACAGGACCCCAGGCCCACGGGGACCCUUCUAGCCACAGCAGCACCUCACAGGGACAGGGUGGAAGCCCAGGGUCCGUGUGACAGCAUCACGUCACUGAGCCCUGCUGGGCUGGGCCCCCCCACAGAAGGAACCAAGUUGUAGAGGGGAUGGGGACAAGCAGCAAGGGCGGCGCGGGAGGCUGGGGUCCAUGGGAGGCUGAGCCGGUGGAGAGGCCUCUCAGCAUGGCCUCCUCUGGCACCCACGCCCAGGGUCCUUCCCCUCCUAGCUGGCCACAACUCACUGGGGCAGUGGCCCAAGACAGCCCGUCACCUGGCCUGCUCCCUCCCCGGGACACGGCUCCGGCGCCAUCCAUGCCCACCGCAGACGGUGUGCAACGGUGCCUGCUGCCCACAGGGUUUAUGCCCCCCGACCUUCCCCACAGAGGCGUGGACCCUGGCUGUCCGUAGGGUGAGCCUGUGUCCUCCACUCCCGUCCUGCCAGGCGGCCUUGGCUGGGACGGGGAGGAGCUGCCACCAGCGGGGCCAGGGCUGCUACUAACCAGUAAAUCGUGUAGGCCUCUGCUUGAGCUGGGUCUUGGAUAUUUGGUUCAUUUAGAAGUUCCUGUAUUCCUAAUAGGAUCUGUGCCAGAGACAAAAACACAAGACGGGUGUGAGCAGUUUGAAAGGGAGACACCGUGAGACUCGGCCUCAGCCACAGAGAAUGACCACAGACCCACGUGUCCGGAGGGGAGACUAAGGCAGCCCUGCCGGUGCCAGAGGCGGAGGCCCCGUACCUGUUUGAUUGUGAUGGCUGGCCUCCAGUCCUUGUCCUCCUCUAAGAUGGACAGGCACACUGUCCCCGAAGGGUACACAUUCGGGUGAAAUAAUGGUGGUUCGAAUUUACCUGGAGGAAGAGGAAGAAAGGAAGCACUUUUUGGAGGCAGGCACUGUCCCAGAGUCACGUCCUUCCCCACAUCACCCUCCUCCCAACACUGGGGCCCCGGGUUGGUAGCCAGGUUAUUUGGCCAAAAACUUUUCAAAAAAAUUAAAUUGUGGCCAUGAGGAGACUAAAGGAAGACAUAUCCACCUUUGCACACAGGGAACAGAGCCUUGGGGACACGGCCGCAGCCGAGACGAAGCUGUGUCUCUCCCAGGACAGAACUCCCAGCACAGCCAGGCAGUCUGGGAACACAGGCCCCAGGGUGGCCACUUAACCUGUGGCCCCCACAUCCUUUCCAGCUGGGCCAGACUCAGGGGAGAUGGGAGGAGCUGCAGGAGACGUCCAGGGACAUAGCCAACGCCCUUCCAGAGUCGGCUGUUCCGACGCAGACCCUCUGCUUCCAGGAUAUACGGGCUUUUAGGACCCUGUGUUAUUUCUUUACAAAAAAGCAGAAAAGUUUGCCACCAUUAGCCCCACCAGGGACCAUCACAGUUGAUAUUCUAGGCUAUUUCCCAUCUUUUACCUGGGCAUCCUCCCUCUUCUCUCUCAAUGCUACGGAAGGACACACAGUGCGGCAUGUCUAGUGCAGCCGGAGGAAUUACCAGAAAGCCAACGCGCCACGAACACCUACAGCUUCCCCGAACACUCGCUCCUACCGACCACUGCAUCUGCCCCGUAAUCCCAACUGCAACAUCCGCAGGCAGCUUCCUGGACUUCAGGUACCAUGGAGAUGCACAGGGCACACUCCCUGGGGAACGCGAAGACACCACCGCAGACCGUCCCACACCGCGACCAUCCCACACCGCAGGAGCACACGGGCGACACCAGCAGCUGCGUGGCUGUCCUGAGUGCGAACACGCGUGAGCGCGCUGCUGUGGAAUGUGGGGUGACGGUGUUGGCCCUCAAGCCGUGCUGCUUCCAGGCUGCUCACGCAGGCUGCGUCGCUGGCGGAUUCCAGCCACCGGGUGAGGUGCACGGCAGCCACUCCGUGGUGCUACGCUGCGCCUGCUGGUGACCGCUGAGCGCCCCUUUCGGCCCAGGCUGCUUCCUGGCGACUGCUUCGCAGAAGUUCCUCAAGCGAUACGUCUUACAGGGCUCUUCUGCUUGGGGCUUGACUUUUUGCUUUUUUAAUUUUUUGAGAUGGAGUUUCACUGUGGUGCCCAGGCUGGAUCUCGGCUCACUGCAGCCUUCACCUCCCGGGCUCAAGUGAUUCUCCCGCCUCACCUUGGCCUCCAGAGUAGCUGAGGUUACAGGCACCCGCCAUCAAGCUUGGCCAAUUUUUCUAUUUUAUUAGAACCGGGGUUCCUCCACUGUUGGUCAGGCUGGUCUCAAACUCCUGACCUUAAGUGAUUCACUUGCCUUGGCCUCCCAAAGUGCUGGGAUCACAGGUGUGAGCCAACGCGCCCGGCCCGACCUUUUCCUCUUCUAAGGGAAUCUUUUGGCAAAAACAAAAAUUGCCUAAUUUCAAUUUAAUCUGAUUCUCAAUCUCGUUUCUUCUGCCGAUCACAACUUACCCGCAGAAAGGCACAGAUGCUGGAUGCCAGCACUGCCAGGUCCACCUGUCCCUCCCAAGGUAGAGGCUGCCUCCUACUUCCUCAUGGCCUCCGGCUUGGCCGCUCCCGCGCUUCAAAGAAGGAACACAAAGGGGGUGCCCUCCUGUCUGGACUGUCCGCCAGGCAUCAUGUGGCCUCUUCACUCUUCCCUACCUGUCAUCCUAGGACGUCUGGGCUGGGGCAAGUGGGGGUGACACCGGCACCCAUCUGUGCCUCUGGUGGACACAUGUAUGUGCUUCUGUGAAUCUCGACUGACUCAAGUGAACAGCCAGGUCCUACAGCAUGAGCUCAGCUUCCACUGGUGUGGCAGGCAGCGUCCAGGGGAAACGUUCAGAACAUCCGCUCUCUCCAGCGGUGGCUGAGGCUCCCGCUGCCCUGCGCCGCGGCUCCGUCUGCUCCCCUGUGCGCUACGGCAGAUCCCACUGGGGAGGCUUUCACUCUUUGGCAAAGCCAGGCAUCCCUGCCGCAUUUGCUGGCUGGGUGGAGGCCUUUCCUGUGAGGGACACGCUGGACGUCAUGGCAGCCUUCUUACUGAUUCCCAGGAGCUCUUGGUAGAUUCAGGGUGAGGGCUGAGGUACGUACAUACACUGUAGUGUGCCCUCCUGCCCGGCGCCAACUGCAGUCUUUAUGAUAAAGAGAGAUUCUUAAUUUCAACUUAGUCAACUCGUCAAUCUCCCUCCGGCCAGCACUUCAC